GCUACCGAGGGGUGCUGCAGCGGAUCCCGGUCCGCCACGCUUGGUAGGCGAUUCCUCGCAAGGGCGCCCUUUCCAU
This 76-nucleotide non-coding RNA is filed under the name Rhodanobacter spathiphylli. RNAcentral describes it as "Rhodanobacter sp. SAH sequence". It matches the Rfam family "SAH (S-adenosyl-L-homocysteine) riboswitch aptamer". Lineage: Bacteria; Pseudomonadati; Pseudomonadota; Gammaproteobacteria; Lysobacterales; Rhodanobacteraceae. The record is from RNAcentral.